AAGCUCGACGCGCGCACUCUUGUCUGCUUACGAGGGCUCCUCCCUUCAGCUUUGGUCCCUCGGGGCGUCUGGGCAGCCUACGCUUUCCGACUAUGGAAAUGAUAUUAGACAAAAAGCAACUUCAAGUGGUUUUCUUAUUUGAGUUCAAAAUGGGUCAUAACGCAGCAGAGAUAACUUGAAACAUGAACAGCGCAUUUGGCCCAGGAACUACUAACGAACAUACAGGGCAGCUGUGAUUCAAGAAGUUUUGCAAAGCAGACUAGAGCCUUGAAUAUGAGGAACACAGUGGCCAGCCAUUGGAUGCUUCACUUCUUGAAGCAUCUUGACAGCUUUUUGCAGGUGAAAUGCUUCCACACCAGCAGGAUGCAGAAAAAUGCUUUCCAAGAGUUUGUUGAAUCCAGAAGCAUGGAUGUUUAUGCUGCAGGAAUAAACAAAUUUAUUUCUCGUUGGCAAAAAAGUGUUGAUUGUAAUGGUUCCUAUUUUGAUUAAUAAAGAUGUGUUUGAGCCUAGUUAUAAUGAUUUAAAAUUAAUGGUCCAAAAAUGCAAUUACUUUUGCACCACCACCAACACACACACACACCUACACAUUCUGGAUUUGAAUUCCAUGUUGAUUAUAUGCACUUGGAAUAUUUCUUUUCCAUCUGUGGAUUGUUCUGUCACUUAUUUUCUUUAAUAAAUGGGUUUCUGAACCUCUGUUGUAUUGACA
This is a long non-coding RNA of Homo sapiens (human), 706 nucleotides long. Ensembl annotates it as TTC28 antisense RNA 1. Its record names the gene TTC28-AS1. NCBI's taxonomy places the organism in Eukaryota, Metazoa, Chordata, Mammalia, Primates, Hominidae. The record is from Ensembl.